RNAcentral lists this ribosomal RNA (305 nucleotides) under Deltaproteobacteria bacterium. RNAcentral describes it as "partial 16S ribosomal RNA". It matches the Rfam family "Bacterial small subunit ribosomal RNA", at positions 1 to 288 of the family's 1533-position model. Lineage: Bacteria; Pseudomonadati; Myxococcota; Myxococcia. The record is from RNAcentral.
UAACUGGAGAGUUUGAUCCUGGCUCAGAACGAACGCUAGCGGCGUGCCUAACACAUGCAAGUCGAACGAGAAAUCCUGAGCAAUCGGGAGAGUAAAGUGGCGCACGGGUGAGUAACGCGUGGGUAAUCUACCCUGGAGUUAGGAAUAACACUUCGAAAGGGGUGCUAAUACCUAAUAAGAUCCUGAAAACCAUGGUUUUUGGGAUUAAAGAUGGCUGAGGCUUGCAAGCUAUUGCUCCAAGAUGAGCCCGCGUACCAUUAGCUAGUUGGUAGGGUAAUGGCCUACCAAGGCAACGAUGGUUAGCU